This 163-nucleotide ribosomal RNA is filed under the name Staphylococcus aureus. RNAcentral's name for it is "partial 16S ribosomal RNA". It matches the Rfam family "Bacterial small subunit ribosomal RNA", at positions 1 to 158 of the family's 1533-position model. The record is from RNAcentral. Lineage: Bacteria; Bacillati; Bacillota; Bacilli; Caryophanales; Staphylococcaceae.
UUUAUGGAGAGUUUGAUCCUGGCUCAGGAUGAACGCUGGCGGCGUGCCUAAUACAUGCAAGUCGAGCGAACAGAUAAGGAGCUUGCUCCUUUGACGUUAGCGGCGGACGGGUGAGUAACACGUGGGUAACCUACCUAUAAGACUGGGAUAACUUCGGGAAACC